This 491-nucleotide long non-coding RNA is filed under the name Pongo abelii (Sumatran orangutan). Its description in RNAcentral is "lincRNA". The record is from RNAcentral. Lineage: Eukaryota; Metazoa; Chordata; Mammalia; Primates; Hominidae.
AAACGGCAGCAGCUGGGACUCUGUGCUGUGGCAGCCUAAGUGAACCUCUUCACGGGCUAAUGACAAUUGCAGGCAUUGUUGGGCUGUGUCCUAAGGUGAAUCAACAUGAAGAAAAGCCCUGGCUGCUCGUGCACUGAUAACUUCAUCUUUUCAGACAUCUGGGAAUUACCACCACAAUGUCUGGAAAAAAAUGACUUCACACUAAUGCAGCAGAGGCAAACCAUGGUUUGGCCAAAAACGGAACAGAAUUUACAAGGGAAAAGGGAAGUUCCUGGAGUAAUAUGGUCAGGUGAGGAUGGAACUGGUGAAUGAGCAGAGGAGAAGGGUGGAAGAGUGCAGUGGUGAUGACAGCCCUCCGCUGCUCCUUCCCCAGAGGAAGGAGCUCCAAGUUUAUUCACCCCUCUUUUACCAUGAGGCAGAGGGAAAACAAUGACAAACAUACAGUAAACUUCAUUAUCAACAAACAGAAGUUGUUACCAAGGCAACAGAAC